Molecule: ribosomal RNA, 881 nt
Filed under: uncultured eukaryote
Lineage: Eukaryota
Description: SSU rRNA
Rfam family: Eukaryotic small subunit ribosomal RNA
Source: RNAcentral
GUGCCAGCAGCCGCGGUAAUUCCAGCUCCAAUAGCGUAUACUAAAGUUGUUGCAGUUAAAACGCUCGUAGUCGGAUUUCGUGGUCGGGCGACAGGUCUCCUUCACAGGUGCACUUGUCGGCUUGCCAUUCUUACCGGAACGGCUGCACUUUUUUAACUAAACGUGCAGUUGGAACGGUUUAUUUACUUUGAAAAAAUCAGAGUGUUUCAAGCAGGCAGCUCGCUCUUGCAUGGAUUAGCAUGGGAUAAUGAAAUAGGACUUUGGUGCUAUUUUGUUGGUUUCGAACACCGAAGUAAUGAUUAAAAGGGACAGUCAGGGGCACUCGUAUUCCGCCGAGAGAGGUGAAAUUCUCAGACCAGCGGAAGACGAACCACUGCGAAAGCAUUUGCCAGGGAUGUUUUCACUGAUCAAGAACGAAAGUUAGGGGAUCGAAGACGAUCAGAUACCGUCGUAGUCUUAACCAUAAACCAUGCCGACUAGGGAUUGGAGGAUGUUCACUAUUGACUCCUUCAGCACCUUACGGGAAACUAAAGUCUUUGGGUUCCGGGGGGAGUAUGGUCGCAAGGCUGAAACUUAAAGGAAUUGACGGAAGGGCACCACCAGGAGUGGAGCCUGCGGCUUAAUUUGACUCAACACGGGGAAACUUACCAGGUCCAGACAUUGUGAGGAUUGACAGAUUGAGAGCUCUUUCUUGAUUCGAUGGGUGGUGGUGCAUGGCCGUUCUUAGUUGGUGGAGUGAUUUGUCUGGUUAAUUCCGUUAACGAACGAGACCGUUGCCUAUUAAAUAGUGACGCGAACACUUCGUUCGUGGCGCACUUCUUAGAGGGACAACUUGUUUUCAACAAGUGGAAGUUAGCGGCAAUAACAGGUCUGUGAUGCCC